Molecule: non-coding RNA, 1069 nt
Organism: Globicephala melas (long-finned pilot whale)
Lineage: Eukaryota; Metazoa; Chordata; Mammalia; Artiodactyla; Delphinidae
Source: RefSeq, a predicted model, not a curated record
GGGAGACCUAAGAUGGAGGAACGGCAUGGGGCUGAGUGUGCCUUGAGGGAUACACCUAUACCUACGUUACCAGAUGAGAAGACAAACACACAGACCCAGAAGAGGCAAGAGCCUCACUUGGGGGAGGGGACGCGAAGGGAAAGCAAGAACAUUGGUGUUGGAGGGGCCUGGGAAUUUCCUAGACCAGCGGUCCCUAAACUUCUGUGGACCACCAAGCAGGUUCCACUCCUGCGCGACCUUCACCCGGAUACUGAGUGACUGAAAACAAGCACCGCUCACGUACUCACAGUUCUGCGGGUUAGCAACUUGGGCGGGGCCCCGAGAAGAGGUUUUGGGCCCGCCCCACCUGGGGUCUUUCAUGCCACUGCCGUCUUGUGGCUUUGGGGCUCAACAGGGCCUGGACGGUCCCAGCUGGCCCCGUUCACAAGUCUGGUGGUUGGUGCCGGCUGUCGGCCUGGCCCCUCCUCUCCUACUCCAGCUUUCCUGAUGCUUUAUUCACGUGGCCUGUGAAAGCGGCCUCUCCUCAGCCUCUGCAUCUCCAAGUUCCCACUGUCAUCGUCAGUCAAAUGACCGACCGACUUUCUCAGUUCCAAAUUCCCAGAGGAGAACAUUGGACGGUCUAAGCUCAAGGUGGCGCCGAGGCCCUGGAACGGAAGCCCAGCAAUUGCCUCCUAAACUGGAAUUCAGAACUGCAGCCACUCUGCCUCGGUUUGACAGAGAAAGUGGUCUCUAUGCAAUGUGAUGGAUGGUGAGGGGCGUCCCAGGCUAAGAAGAGCCUCCUUUUCUGCUCACAACCACCUGAAAGUCAAUAUAUAGGUGACACAGGGCCGGGCCUCACUCCAGACCAAUAGAAUCUGUGCAAGUGGGCCCCGACCUGACCCCAGUGUGUGCCCAGGUCUGCUUCUCUAGGGUCUUGUCCUUCGUCACCUUAAAGACCAGCUCACCGCCAAGCCAGAAGCAUUUACAACAUUGGGAGUGGAGAGGAGGGAGUGUCUGAGCCCAGUGGACACAGAUGCUCCAGGACUAGGAUAGAAUGUUUCUAACUUCUUUCCUGUAAUAAUGUGUGACC